Molecule: ribosomal RNA, 510 nt
Filed under: uncultured bacterium
Lineage: Bacteria
Description: partial 16S ribosomal RNA
Rfam family: Bacterial small subunit ribosomal RNA
Source: RNAcentral
GACGAACGCUGGCGGCGUGCUUAACACAUGCAAGUCGAACGAAGAGCGAUGGAAGCUUGCUUCUAUCAAUCUUAGUGGCGAACGGGUGAGUAACGCGUAAUCAACCUGCCCUUCAGAGGGGGACAACAGUUGGAAACGACUGCUAAUACCGCAUACGAUCUAAUCUCGGCAUCGAGGAUAGAUGAAAGGUGGCCUCUACAUGUAAGCUAUCACUGAAGGAGGGGAUUGCGUCUGAUUAGCUAGUUGGAGGGGUAACGGCCCACCAAGGCGAUGAUCAGUAGCCGGUCUGAGAGGAUGAACGGCCACAUUGGGACUGAGACACGGCCCAGACUCCUACGGGAGGCAGCAGUGGGGAAUCUUCCGCAAUGGAUGAAAGUCUGACGGAGCAACGCCGCGUGAGUGAUGACGGCCUUCGGGUUGUAAAGCUCUGUUAAUCGGGACGAAAGGCCUUCUUGCGAAUAGUGAGAAGGAUUGACGGUACCGGAAUAGAAAGCCACGGCUAACUACGUG